This is a long non-coding RNA of Myodes glareolus (Bank vole), 750 nucleotides long. RefSeq lists it as uncharacterized. NCBI's taxonomy places the organism in Eukaryota, Metazoa, Chordata, Mammalia, Rodentia, Cricetidae. The record is from RefSeq and is a predicted model, not a curated record.
GGCACAACAAAGCAGCUGCAAAGCUUGUCUCCUAAGCAUGUAUGGUGACAGAAUACCUAGAUAAGACCAGAAAGACCUGUUGGAGAUCCUAAGUAAAUGGGAGAUUGAAAUCGUCUGGCCCAGAUUUCCUUUCUGACUUCCCUGGGAACCAAACUACUUUCUGUGAUUUCAAGACUUGAUUUUAAAUAAACAAGCAACUAAGAAACAAGAGAAAGUUGGGUACCCGUGGGCUCCUUGAAAACAUCGAUUCCUCUCCUCUGCCCUGCUUUCAAUUCUGCUAUGGAAGAGCCAACAUCCAAGCUGACAGAAGUCAUCUCAGAGCCCACAGUUGAACUGGAAGAUGAGCUCAAAAAUAUCAAUCUGUCCAGCCCAUUAGAGAAGGCAAAGCCAGGCAAGAGGGUUGAGUGGUCAAGUGACACUAUUGAUAAUGAGCACUUGGGCCGUCGCUCUUCCAAAUGUUGCUGUGUUUAUGAGAAGCCUCGUGCCUUUGGUGAGAGCUCCUCAGAAAGUGAAAAAGAGGAUGAUGACAAUUGUGCUAUACUCUGUGCCUGGGGUCAUCACAAGGGAAGACGCCAUGUUCUUUCAAGCACUGAUGCUAGUACUUCAUCUUCAAAGCCUCAAGAUCCAUCUGAAUCCCUUCCUUCUCCCAUUAAUGACUAAGUGUCAUCUUGCUUCUCUUAUGCCUGAACCAGACUGAACAGCAAUAUGUCCAUGUUGCUACUCAGGGAUUAAAUACUGUUGAUUCUUGUA